Molecule: ribosomal RNA, 497 nt
Filed under: uncultured bacterium
Lineage: Bacteria
Description: partial 16S ribosomal RNA
Rfam family: Bacterial small subunit ribosomal RNA
Source: RNAcentral
GAUGAACGCUGGCGGCGUGCCUAAUACAUGCAAGUCGAGCGAACGGACGAGAAGCUUGCUUCUCUGAUGUUAGCGGCGGACGGGUGAGUAACACGUGGAUAACCUACCUAUAAGACUGGGAUAACUUCGGGAAACCGGAGCUAAUACCGGAUGAUAUUUUGAACCGCAUGGUUCAAAAGUGAAAGACGGUCUUGCUGUCACUUAUAGAUGGAUCCGCGCUGCAUUAGCUAGUUGGUAAGGUAACGGCUUACCAAGGCAACGAUGCAUAGCCGACCUGAGAGGGUGAUCGGCGACACUGGAACUGAGACACGGUCCAGACUCCGACGGGAGGCAGCAGUAGGGAAUCUUCCGCAAUGGGCGAAAGCCUGACGGAGCAACGCCGCGUGAGUGAUGAAGGUCUUCGGAUCGUAAAACUCUGUUAUUAGGGAAGAACAUAUGUGUAAGUAACUGUGCACAUCUUGACGGUACCUAAUCAGAAAGCCACGGCUAACUACGUG